UUCCAGGUUACUUUCCUUACUAUCCGAGAGCCUAACUUAACUCACUUAGUAUGCUGUUACAAACACAAUCUAAAGGUUCUUUUCUAUUUCUCCUCCUUUUUCUUCCUACGUCUUUCUUUAUAUAUUAGGUAUCAAAUUGUGUACUUUUUGUCUAUCCCUUGAUUGACUUUGGGGAUAGUUAGUUUAAUUUUGCAUUUGCUUCGUAAUUAGCUGUUCUACCUUCUUUACUGUGGUUUUAUUGUGUCUGGUGACAGCUAUUCAACCUUAGGAACACUUCCAUCUAUAGCAGUCCCUCCAAAAUAGACUGUAGAGAUGGUUUGUGGGAAGUAAAUUCUCUUAGCUUUUGCUUAUCUGGAAAUUGUUUAAUCUCCCCUUCAAAUUUAAAUGAUAAUCUUGCCGGAUAAAGUAAUCUUGGUUCCAGGCCCUUCUGCUUCAUGGCAUUAAAUACAUCAUGGCACUCCCUUCUGGCCUGUAAGGUUUCUGCUGAGAAGUCUGAUGUUAGCCUGAUGGGCUUUCCUUUGUUUGUGCUCCCAGAGGAGAUCUCCAGAGUUAGGUAUUCAGCAGUCCCAGGCCUCCACUCCCUUUCUGCUCCAUUUCUCUUCCUCCUGCUGGUGAGCUGGGGUGAGGGAAGGGCUUGGGUCCUGCCAGGCCACGGCUUUGGUACGUUACCCUGUUCUGUGAGGUUUAUUCAUUUCUCCAGGUGUACGCAGUUUGGCUCAGCCCUCUUUCCUGUUGCUCUUUCAGGUUUAGUCGUAUUAUUUAUAUUUUUAUAUUAAAUGCUGUUUUAGGAGGAAGCCUCUGUCUCACCUCUCAUGAGGCUUGUUUUUAGUGGUUAGUGUCCAUACAAUUUUGUGUUGUGAGACUUUUUUUCUGUGGUCAUGAAAGGAAAAAAAAUGUUCAAGUGGAGGCUGCCUCAGCCUGUUGUGUUGCAACAUUGUUCCAGGCACCAUUGGUGCUACAAUUUGGAAACAGCUUUCCAUCCUGCUUUCCUGGAACAUACAUAUCAGCCAUAGAACAUCCCCUCUUCAAAUCUUAUUGUUAUCAGAAUUCCUCUCUGGAAUAAAACUCCUUGGUAUCAUAGGGCUAGCCUUUGUUGGGGCAGCUUUUUUUAAGCCUGACAUCCGCUGUCAGGUCAUGGUGACAGCAGCACCUGUGCUAGAGAGAGUAGAAAGGCUUCCAUAUAAACCGUCAAGACCUAUAGCCUUCCAGACAUUUCUGUAUAUAAUAUUUAUGCCCUUGGAAAGGGAAGAAGGCACAAAAAUGGGUGUUGUAGCUCUUCUGAAAUCCUUUAUUGAGUCAGGUAGUCCCAUCAAGUGAGUUUCAUAGACCUUAUUUUUGGCAUUUUGAAAGCCCAGAAUUCUACAGCUUUUGAUAUCUUAAAUUGUAAAUACAAAUGUCACGCCAGAUAAUUUCCCGUCUUACUAUAACAGCUUAGAAGUCUUUGGCAUAAUUUGCUUUGUGAUGUGUGAUUCCAGUAGUUGAUAUGAAUGAGUUAGUUCAGUGAAUCCAAAAGAAAUUAGAGACUUUUUAUUUUAUCAGAUGAUUUCAGAUUACCACUAAAGGAGGAAUUGAUACAUAACAUAAAAUAAAACCCUAGUUCACAGUUGGUGGUGUACCAAAAUCAUUAAGGAACGUGAACUUCAAAAUACGUACUCUAUUAUACAUAAAAUAGCCAUUGUUCUGUGCCAAGGCUUGUAUUAAGAGACACUUGUCCUGUCUCUUAGUGAUACUCAUUUCUAGCUCUUUGACCAUUUUUUAGUAAUAGAGUCAUUUCUGCCUUGCUAUAUAGUUAUGUCCUCAAAUUCUUCAUUUCCAUGUCUACACUGUGGGUCAGAUAGGGUGCUCGUUACUGUGACUGUAAAGUUCUGCACCAAUGAAUGAGAUGUGGGUGAGUAAUAAGAAUUAGGCCAGUCUACUGUAAGGUACCAUAUAAAGAAUAUUUUCAAGAUGGAAAAAAAUACUGCAGAAAAACAACCAAGUCUGCUAAAUGCUUUACACAUACCAUUUCAUUUAAUCUCUUUAAAACAUAGGAACUACCUUGCAUGUGAGGAAACUAAGACACAGAGUGGUUAAUUCAUACAGGGAUCAGAGACAAGAUUAUUAAUUUCUAAUACAUACAGUAAUAUACAUUUUGCUUCUCCAUGAAAAGCCUUUUAUAAAAGAUGAAGGAGAUUAUGAAAAUAUAUAAAUGUGCAAUAUUUUUCUUUAGUGUGGCCUUGUGUUUUGGAACAGUUCCUGGACUCAAGGCCCAUUUUAAUGCCUGAAAAGGACUGCUAUCAAAUGGGUUAUUUUAUAUGGUAUUGCUAACCACUAAAGUUGUAAGGAAAGGGAAAUAGUUUUAUAGUUUCUUCCUCCCCCAGGUCAUAAUUUAGUUGUGGACAUCAGGAUGUUUUUCUUGGCUUAUCUCAUUCAUGUAGUUUUUCUUGAACAUCUGUUUCAUAAAUUACUGAGCUAUUUCCUUGAAAAGUUGCCAGUUUAAGUCACACUCAAUAGUGAUCAAAAGGUCGGUACCUUUUGAGAAAAAGAAUUAAAUGACAGGCUUUUGAGGGGCAGAAAUCCAAAUACCAUCCUGGUUUAAGUAUUUUCUGUUUUGGAUCAAUUCCUAUAUUUUUAGAGGCAUUGAAAUAAUUAUAUGUGGUUUCUAGUGUUUCCCAAAAGACUUCAUGUUGGAUUAGAACAUCUAAUGACUUUUUAUAUAAAAUGGGGUAUUUUAGUCACUGCUUCUAUAUGUCUUAUCUUUCACUGCUAAUUUAUGUAUACAUUCUAGUCUGGUACAUAGUUUGUACUAAAUGUGGAGUAACUAAAUGUUACCAUUAGUAACUAAAUGUGGAGUAUUUAUUUCAUUAAUGAUUAUUCAUAUAAUAUUUCUUGACUGGAUUCUAUGUAAACCAUACAAUAAUGAUUUUUUGUGGGGUUUGUUGGGGUUUUUCUGGGGGAAAAAUAGGACUCAUUACUUCUCACUACAUUUUAAAACAACUUUUUACUUAAAUGAGGAACAUGCCAAUUGUUAGGAAUCUCAGAUAUCUUAGGUGGAAUCUGGGUAGUUACAGGCCAUGCAAACUGGUAAUGAAUCAAUACUGGAAAUCUUUCUAAAAUGUUUAGGUAAGCUUUUCCAUAAACAAGGGGAACAAGUAUUUCUCUAAUACACAAUUUGAAAUUAUGUGGAUUUGGGAUACUAGUUUUCAAGCUUGGAAUACUGAUAAUCUAUCUAUAAUGGGUAUUUUUAGAGAUUAAAAGAGAAAGUGUUAUAAAUGAGCUAAUGUCAAUUACUGAUGAAAGUCUUUAAUUUUUUUUGCAUUACAUUUCCUUCCUGUAACUGUUCUCCUUUCUAAAACACAAUAGAUACUUUAUUUUUCUGUUCAAAAUUUUGAAUUUCUCUGCUCAAAAUUUUGAAUUUUUAAAACUGGUGUAGAUUUGUUAACAGAAAAUAAUGUGUAGUGUCUUUAUGAAUCAAUCUGACUUGUACAUGGGGAUUAUGUCACCUAGUUAGCCUGACACAGGCAUCCACCUUGCAGCUCAGCUUCAUUGUGUUCCAGUUCUGGGGCUGUGGUAACAAAUUAACAUCUUUUGGAAAAGGACUCAAGAGUAUAAGCCAACCUCCAGUACUGGCGGUGAGUGUGGCAGAGCCUAAGAAAACGAUGCUUCACAGACAGAAAAUAGAAGCUUGACAUAUUUUUAGACAGGAACACAUCAAGUUUGAUGGUGUCUUGGAAUGAUAAUACAAUCAAAUCUGUAUGGAAUCAGUAAAAAAAAUGAUGAGAAGUGUUCUGCCAUGCAAAAAUUUCUUACCUGAGAAGUAAAACUUGGUGAAUGUAAAUACUGGUUAACCUGUGUUGAAGAAAUAUAAUAUGCACAGGAUAGUUCGACUGUUGAUGGAGUCUGGGAGAUGUAAACAUUUUCAUUUUUUUAAUUUUGGGAGAUACACAGAGGUCUAAAGUAAUCUUUCAGAAAUGUUAGGGGUAUAUUCUUAACAGUUUUUUCUACCUUCAGAAUAGUGUUCAGUGUUCCUUUGCUUCCUGUGGACCCCUACUACCCCCCCCCCCCCCCGCCAAAAGAACUGAAAAAUACUUUUGUAGAAAAUAGUUUUAUAGAAUUACUUCCUACUUUAUCUGGAAGUAGUACAAAUGUACUACAAAUCUAAAUAUUUAAGAUUAUAAGAAUAUUGGGCCAUAUCAAUCAACAGUGUUCAGUAAUAGGAAAAAAGAAUAAUAACAAUUUUGUAGUUCAAACCUAAGACAGGCACAGUCACAGGGGGGCCAUCAGGUGAGAAAUUGGGGAUCAACAGAGGUGAGGCUUAGAACCUCACCCCCAAUGUUUUGAGAGAAAUCUUCUGCAUCCGUGGAUGUUUUGUUGCCCUUGUCUAGCUUGGAUUAAUACUUAGUCUAUAGGCACAGACCUGAUCAUCUACAUUUGCCCUCUUACAGCACUAAAUUAUGUUUUCUACCUUUAUCUCGUAUCUACCUACCACUUCAGCAUUUUAUUAAAAAAUAAUAAUAAUAAGGGAGAAAUGUGGGAUUCACAUAUAAAUCAAGUAUAAAAAUCAAAUGAAUAAUCAUAUCUGACUUGAUUGUUUAUAGUUCAGGAUGCGUGAUCAAAACCGAACGUUUCUGUGAUAUGACUGCCCUUGCACUGUUCACCAUGUAAUAACUUGUUCGUUAUGCUUCAGAAGAUUGGAGACUGUUGAGAAUUAGGCUUGGGGUUGAUUAAUGAUUGUGCAUUGAGUCCCCUAUACAGAAUUUUAUUGUUGUUAACAACCAUUUGAUCAAUAAAUAUGAGAGAUGCCCUCUCAAAAAAAAAAAGAAAAUUUUGUAGUUCAAUUCUCCCACCCCUGUGAUAAUACUAGACUCAACUAUUACUGAAAUUGAAGGCCAACAUUUAUCAGAAUGGAUCAAAGAACUUGGUUGUAAAAGUGGUGUGAGAACAGCUUUUGGCUUAGAAAAGAGUAUAGAGUCCUUAAUUUUCUUAGAACUUAAAUAGAAUUUCAAAAACAGUUACAUCAGGUAGGGGUAGUUUUACAUUGGGAGGGGAGGAAACAAUUGAAGUGGUAUUAUUGAAUAUUAAUAAAUUUUCUGUGGUUUUAAUGUCUUUUAGGCAGGCAGCUUGAGUUUGGACUUAGGCAGUUUAUUGUAUUUUUUAAAUGUUUUAGGUAUACAGUUACACUAUGUACUUUGAUCUUCAGGUAUCCAAAAUUAUUCUAAAAGUAGAAGUUUUUAAAAGGUCUGUGGGACUCCCUCCCUCAAUAAAAUCUGGCAAUAAAUUACUUUUUAAUAUUUAUUUGUUUUUUUUUUUUUUUUACAGUAACAGCUACAGGAUGAGGUAUAAAUAUUUCAGUGAAAAUUCUUGAUGGUUAUUUUAAAAAAGGAAGUUUCAUGUUUCAGCAUCUAGCAUUUUAAUGUCUCCUCUUAAAAAGUAAAGAGGGAAACAGAAGGUGCAUAAUCCAGCAUAGUUCCUCUGUGUAAAUACUCAAAAGUCAUAAAUAAUAUGCACAUGAGCAUCCCACAUACUUGCAGCAUAAGUGGAUUGAAAUAGGGUGUAUGUUUCUUCAGUAACCAGGUUAUUCUUUUCUGAAAUCUUGUUACUGCAGAAGAAUGGAAAAAGAGCAUAAGAUUUUAGGUGUCUUCUAUUUCAGUUUUUCUAACUGAUAUUUUCUUUAUCUUACUUUCUAAGAGUAUGUGUGUUUAAGAAGGAUACAUUGGCUUCCUCCUUUUCAGUUGGAUAGUUUGUACUUAAUAUUUACUAAAACCAAAGAAAAUGUUAUUUCCAUGCCUGAAAAUACAUCUUUUUAAACAUUAAUUCUGCAUUUAGUUCUUUUAGUAGCAUAAUUUGUGAUAUCAUCGUAUAUAUUAACUUAAAGGGUUUUUUAUUUUAGGUUAGAUGAUACUACUAAUUCUCUAAUUUAGGGCAGAAUCUGUAACAAAAAGUGGACUUUGGAAUUAGAAGACCUAACAAAGUUUGACCAUCUGUUUAAGUUCUCUACUAAGGAGUUGCUAUUAAAUAUAUUCUCCCUCUCAUUCAAAAAUAAUAUAUUAUUUUUUUGGUAGAGGGGUUUGUUGCUGGUAAUGACAGCAUGGCAGCACUGGAGAGAAAGUGGCCAAGCUUAGGUUUGUUAUGCUUGUUUCUUCUGUACUUGCCAGUAUUUAUUUUAUUAGUUCUCUUAUGGUGUGAAGAGAGUACUGAAAUCUAUUCCUUGUCUUAGCACUUGAGCUAUUUUAUAAUUAAGAUACUAUAUAAUCAAAUAUAAUACUUGUUUUAGCAACACUGAUUCUUCUAUGGAACCACUGCUUGUGAAGACAUUUCUCAUUGCUUUGUGUUUCACUUUCAGACAAAGACAAGACUUUUUUGAUGGGUAGCAAAUAUCCAGCCAAGUGGAUGAAUCCGUUUUCCACCUCCCCAGACCAUUUCUGUGACAGCCUCAGAUUUUGUUUCAGAUUUUAACAACUAAAGUUAAUGUAUGUGAUGAAUUUAGGAGUACGAGACUUCUUGGUUGUUGGCCAUAAAUUAAUACCAUCCACCGGGCUGUAAUAACAUAUAACUUGGUUUUAAACUAUGAAUAUUAAACCUGUAAAAUAAGGGUACUGUUAUGAAGGCCAUCCCCUGAUGAAAAAUGAGUAUCACAUUGUCCAUUAUCAAGCUUUUAAGAGGAAGUAUUGUUAAAACUAUUUCCCCAAUGUUUUCUCUAGAAACAUUAAAAAAAGAAAAAGCAGAAGAAAGAAAGAACAAACAUUAAAAAAAAGAACUUGUUACCUAAGAAUACUUUGUCUUCUGAGUUCAUUUUAUGGGUGUUUUUUUAUUAUUAUUAUUAUAAAGCUUUUUCAUACAUUGAUACUUCAUAGGUAUCAUAAUAGUUUUACCUAUAUCAUAAAAGUUAUCUUCUGAAAUCUUUGUGGCAUUGAGAGUGGGGUGAUUUAAAUACAGAUUUUAAUGUCAGAAAGCAUUCCUAUCUAACAAUUUUUUAAGUCAUGUUAAUUUCAAUAUUAAGUAAUUAUUCUCUGAAGCUUUGCACACAUAGCACUUAGCAUACAUAUUUCAGUAUGUAGUAUAUAUAUUUUAGUUACUAGUUUGCUCUACUUAUUAGCCUGAAAAAACAAGACAUUGGAAGUACAAAUAAUACUCGUUUGCUGUGAUGGUUAUUUGCUUAUAAAUAGUUAAAAUGUUACUAGUAGUGAUGCAGUACUUGGUUUAUAUUUUUAAUGGCAUUUAAAGGGUUUCCCUUGGUUACAAUAUAAUAUUCAUGGGGAGAAGUUCAGGAAAAUACAGCAAAAGUAUAAAGAAAAAAAUACCAUUAUUUAAAAGCAUCACUUGAACGCUGUUUUGCUCUGUCUCUUACUGCCUCUGUUUUUCUGUUUCUCCAACUCUAAGUGUGGAUGUAUGUAUGCACACAGCAAAACACAAAUUUAAAGGUUUAAAGAAGAUACUGCUUAAUAUUUUCUUGAUCUCAGAGGGAAUGAAAGGUUUAUAGUAAGUCUAAAACAAAAAGGCGAAACCAUGUUAAAAAUACAAACCGAUUUGACUACAUUUUUAAAAAAUGAAGUAAAAUUAAAAGGACAAGCUGGGAAAACAUUUCUUAUUAUAUCACUCUGUUUCAGUUUCCUUGUUUCUUGUUAGAAGUUGGAAAUGGAUUAUACCUAUACUUUUCCUCUUGGUAUAGUUUGUCUUAGCAAAGUAAGUUCUUGAGCUUUUGACAUGAAAAAUGUCAGAGCUAGGUUUUUUUCUUGUCUGUCAUUGUAGUGAUUAUUCUUAAGGUGAGAUUAGAAGCAAUGACCAUCUAGAAGUAAAAGCCCCAUUUUUGUUUUUACUUUCAACCAAUUUUACCUCUAAAACCUGUACCCAAACUGUUAUCAUUAAGUAAAAUAACUGAUAUUUUGUCAGUAGUGACUGGUGAAAUAAGCAUAAAAUGAGGAAUAAAGAGGAGUGCUAAAAUGAACAUAGUAAUUUGCAAAUGGAGUAAUCAACCCUUGACUAGUUGAGCAUUGGCUGUGUUCACACAGCCAUAAAAACGUGUACAGAAUGUGAGGCUGGUAACUUUUAGCAGUUGGCAUUAAAGAGCCAGUGUAGUGGUUCUGGGCUGCAUAAAGUUAAGUACGUUCCUUGGGCCCUCACUCAGUCUUGCCCUACCUGUUGCUGGGGUGUUGUGAAGAGCAAAUGUCAAAGUAUGUAAAAGCACUUUGUAAGCAGUCAACAGUUUUACAAAUAUAUGAAGGAUGAUUUUAAUUGUAGAUUUUAUCCUUAUGAAGAUCAAUGGUUCAAUAUUGCUGUAAGGUAAAAUCUUCAGAACAUGAGCAGCAGCUUAUAUUCCUCACUCUUCGGUCAUUCCCUUGUAAUUUCCUGUAAUUUUGUUUACAGAACAGAUCCUAAACCUUUUUCUAAAUGUGUGUUUUUACAAAACUGAUGAGAGAGCCCCCUCUAGUGUCUGAAGUAUCCAGUCAUAAAAAAAUUUGUGUCAAUCAUAGAAAGUUUUAGGAGUUAAACUAGCAGUUUUUUUCUUUCACAUCUGGACUUUUUUUUUUUUUUAGCGGGGAGGAAUGGUUAUUUUCCUUUUUUAAAAAGGUCACUGGAAUUAUGGGUAGACGUGGACUGUGAGGGCAGUAGAAAACAUGGGAAAGGAAGGAUCAAAUCCCAUUUUACCUUUUUAGAAAGUUAUUUUUAAAUGACCUGGAAUAAGGCCAAACUAUACAGUGUUUUGUUUUGUUUUAGGAAUUAAGUGCAGUUUAAAAAUAUAUUUUGUUUUGGAGUUCUUUAUGCCAUCAGACCUCAUUUUAAGGGAGUUCUUUCCACUUUUUGAAAGCAAUCGUUUCUUUGGAAAAUUGCUUGAAAAUAGAGACUGAUUCCCUUCUUUGUGGAAGUGUUCUAACUUUGUUUUCUUUGUUAUUAUUAUUGCCAUAUCUUUCUGUGGAUAUUUUAUAACUAUAUUGUGGGUGUAUUCUAAUGGCAAGUUGGUAUUUUACAUAAUUCCCCUUGUUUUCAACCAAGGAAAUAAGGAGAUUCUUAAAUUACUGACUUUCUGCAUGCAACCUCUCCCUCUAAACACACAGCACUCAAAAACACAGGCCUUCAGCUAAGAAUGUUGUGAAGGGUUUAGGGAAACCCUUUCUCACUUGACCAGGGGCUUUUGUAUUUUGAACAAGGAAAGUAGUGUUCUGAAAGCUACUACAUUUAGGAAAGCUCUAGCAAAAAUAUUUCAUAUACGUGGACCAGAGAUUAACUCCUUUCAUCUUGUUCUCCAACAAGUUAAACAGUGCAAAAAGACCUCAAACAGUGCAAAAAGAUCUUAAGUGCAUUCUUGGUAAUGAAAUGCUUGGGUGAAUUAUAAUCCUAAUUGCUAUUGUUCAUUCCCACUGCUGCAUUUUGACACUUCUAACUGCCUAAGCCACGCAUUUUUCAGCCUCUAGGAUAAACAAAAGCAUUCUGAAAUCCAUCAUUUUGCAGCAUCUUAAAUUGCAAAUCUGCUAUUGACUGCCUUUAUUUUAUUUUGGUUUUGUUG
Long non-coding RNA from Manis pentadactyla (Chinese pangolin), 9481 nucleotides. RefSeq lists it as uncharacterized. The record is from RefSeq and is a predicted model, not a curated record. The transcript has 2 exons. NCBI's taxonomy places the organism in Eukaryota, Metazoa, Chordata, Mammalia, Pholidota, Manidae.